Candidatus Roizmanbacteria bacterium is the source of this 73-nucleotide non-coding RNA. NCBI's taxonomy places the organism in Bacteria, Candidatus Roizmaniibacteriota. The record is from Rfam.
GUGGUGUAUGCCGAACGGCUAAGGCGUCGCCCUGUGGAGGCGAUAUCAGCGGGUUCGACUCCCGUACACCACC